CAGGAGCCUGGAUGCUUUGCCCAGCAGCUCAACUGCCUGACGGAGACGGUCUUCAUUCUGGAAAUGGAAAAUAAAUGAUUUAUGGCCUUUGAAUAUGGGCUGCCCUGCUGAGGGCGUCAUCUUCAGACCGUGUCAGACCUGGUCCCACAGAUGACUGUACUCAGGGGAACUGCUGCUGCUGCCGCCGCGCAUGCGCACUACUGAAACUCACGGCCGUGGAUCCUCACACCGCAGCAACUGCAGAUAUUCCAUGUCAGAUUGGAAGGAGAGGGAGCAGGGAGGACGAAACACGGGGGGAGCAGCGCGUAAAGGCCACGAGAGAGGGAUGGAGACCCGGUGUGAGGAGCAGGAGGAGGGCUGAAAGGUGGAUCCACACUGACAGCCUGGUGAGUGCAGACAGGAUGGAGUGAAAGAGCCAGCACAACGCAGGAUGCGCAUCUCCAGCCUGACCAGGAAGAAGACCAAAAACCCCGAGUGUCUUCCAGGCGUCGC
Molecule: long non-coding RNA, 492 nt
Organism: Cynoglossus semilaevis (tongue sole)
Lineage: Eukaryota; Metazoa; Chordata; Actinopteri; Pleuronectiformes; Cynoglossidae
Exons: 3
Source: RefSeq, a predicted model, not a curated record